CUCCUGACUUCUAACAGACGGUAAAAAUACGAAAUAGGAUUUCGGACAUUUCCUCUGCUACGGAAACAAAGCUUGCAUCAGAUCUAAGGGGAGACACACAACAAUAAAACACGCAAAACAAGUGUGAUUCAUCCUUCUUCCUUUAUUUCAUUUUUCCAUGAUCAUUUUUUUUUCUCAAGUAAACAUUUGGCAAGAGAUAACGCCGAUCGCGUCCGACGCAGAUCGAACCAAAUCGAGGUAUGCGUUUUCUCGCUCGCUCGUUCAUUUCCUAAUAGAAAUAUUCUGCUGUUAGAGAAUCGCUGUUUUCUGUUUGGUUCCCUCUUUUCUCAUUUGAGUUGAUGGGUAGUGAGCAUGCGGUUAGAUUUUCGUGUUUCUUUAUUUGAAUUAGAAAUUUGUUGUUGCUGGGGAAAUGUGGGAGUAUAGAGUUAAUCGAUGUUUUCGGUUCAGUGAAACUUUUAACUGAUAAGAGUUUAAUAUUAGUGGUAUUAGAGGAUUUCCAGAUUUUCUUGUAGCAGCGCGGUAGCUUAGUUUCUGCGACGUACGAAACCAAUUUUCUCACAAAGUUAAACUAUAUAUAUGCUUCUCUCUCUAUCUCUAUAUAUAUAUACACACACACACACACACACCCAGAAUUAGCAUGUAAUAAUGGUUAUGGUGGUUUUAGAUGAUAAUUAUUAUUUUUUGCUGGUUUAAUUUUGGGCAUGGUUAGUAGGUAGGAUCUAAUGGUUGCUGAGACUUUUUGGCGGUGGUGUUGAUCUUUGGGGAAGUCUCAGUAGCUUUAAAAACUGAGCGGACUGGAUGGACAAGAACAGGGGCCGAAACGAUUUGCUUGCUGCUGGGCGUAAAAAGGUUCUUCAUCUGUUUUCUUCUAUUAUGAUUAUGCUCUAUACUUUCUAUUAGGUUGCUGAGAGACAGAAGGGAAUGAGUUCGAUUCCUAUGUUUAAAUGACAAGGAUAAUUUGUUAAUUGCCUAUGUUAAUUGACAUGAGUGAGCUGUUUAUGUUAUUUGUGCCUUUAUGAGUUUUAAUUGAGUUUGGUUACUGAACUACCAAAAGAAGCAUAAGGUUUCAAUCCCCCCUCCCCGUCUCUUCCUUCCUUUUUACUGCACAAUGCUUUGUGUUGUGAUGCGCUAACAAGAAGAAAUAUUUGANNNNNNNNNNNNNNNNNNNN
Molecule: long non-coding RNA, 1169 nt
Filed under: Carica papaya (papaya)
Lineage: Eukaryota; Viridiplantae; Streptophyta; Magnoliopsida; Brassicales; Caricaceae
Description: long non-coding RNA (CPAP_LNC002569)
Source: RNAcentral